Molecule: ribosomal RNA, 553 nt
Filed under: uncultured bacterium
Lineage: Bacteria
Description: bacterial SSU rRNA
Rfam family: Bacterial small subunit ribosomal RNA
Source: RNAcentral
ACAGCCUAACACAUGCAAGUCGAACGAGAAGCCACCUUCGGGUGGUGGAAAGUGGCAGACGGGUGAGUAACGCGUGGGAACGUGCCUUUCGGUUCGGAAUAACCCAGGGGAAACUUGGGCUAAUACCGGAUACUGCCCUUCGGGGGAAAGAUUCAUUGCCGAAAGAUCGGCCCGCGUCGGAUUAGCUAGUUGGUAGGGUAAUGGCCUACCAAGGCUGACGAUCCGUAGCUGGUCUGAGAGGAUGACCAGCCACACUGGGACUGAGACACGGCCCAGACUCCUACGGGAGGCAGCAGUGGGGAAUAUUGGACAAUGGGCGAAAGCCUGAUCCAGCCAUGCCGCGUGGGUGAAGAAGGCCUUAGGGUUGUAAACCCCUUUCAGCGGGGAAGAUAAUGACGGUACCCGCAGAAGUAGUACCCGGCUAACUCCGUGCCAGCAGCCGCGGUAAUACGGAGGGGACUAGCGUUGUCCGGAAUUAUUGGGCGUAAAGCGCNACAGUAGGCGGAUUGUUAAGUCUGNGUGUUGACAAACNUCCCCACAGGGGCUUCAAACC